GGGACACCUAUAGGUGUUGACAACUAUCCCUGACACGGAAGAGGUCACUGGUUCAAUCCCAGUACCGCCCACCA
This 74-nucleotide transfer RNA is filed under the name Actinomycetota bacterium. RNAcentral's name for it is "Actinobacteria bacterium tRNA-Val". The record is from RNAcentral. Lineage: Bacteria; Bacillati; Actinomycetota.